RNAcentral lists this ribosomal RNA (1093 nucleotides) under uncultured bacterium. Its description in RNAcentral is "bacterial SSU rRNA". It matches the Rfam family "Bacterial small subunit ribosomal RNA". The record is from RNAcentral.
ACUCUAAUUGUUACGACGGCAAUGUCUAGACCAUGGAUUGUCAUGCACCUGACGCAUGCGUAGUCUCUAGAUUGACCUUGAGAUAGAGGCAGUGCUCAGGAUUACUAGAUAGCUGCUAUCGUCAGCAGCGGUAUCGAGAUGCGCGUAUCGAUAUGUGACGUGUAGCGCUGUAAGUCAGCGUGAAAUCUAGAGCUACCUAAAUUGCCAUUGAUACUGGCGGCUUGAGUGUAGAUGAGUAGGCGAAUGCGUUGUGUAGCGUGAAAUGCAUAGAUAUCACGCAGAACUCCGAUGCGAGGCAGCUUACUAAGGUACAACUGACGCUGAAGCACGAAAGCGUGGGUAUCAACAGGAUUAGAUACCCUUGUAGUCCACGCAGUAAACGAUGAUACUGGGCGUAUGCGAUAUACAGUAUGCUCUAAGCGAAAGCGUUAAGUUAUCCACCUGGGAAGUACGCCGGCAACGGUGAAACUCAAAGGAAUUGACGGGGGCCCGCACAAGCGGAGGAACAUGUGGUUUAAUUCGAUGAUACGCGAGGAACCUUACCCGGGAUUGAAAUGUAGGAUGACCGCCGGGGAAAGUCGGCUUCCCUUCGGGGCAUCUAUGUAGGUGCUGCAUGGUUGUCGUCAGCUCGUGCCGUGAGGUUUCGGCUUAAGUGCCAUAACGAGCGCAACCCCUGUCUACGGUUGCCAUCAGGUAAUGCUGGGAACUCCGUAGAGACUGCCGUCGUAAGGCGUGAGGAAGGUGGGGAUGACGUCAAAUCAGCACGGCCCUUACAUCCGGGGCGACACACGUGUUACAAUGGUGGGGACAAAGGGCAGCUACCUGGCGACAGGAUGCGAAUCUCCAAACCCCAUCACAGUUCGGAUCGGAGUCUGCAACUCGACUCCGUGAAGCUGGAUUCGCUAGUAAUCGCGCAUCAGCCAUGGCGCGGUGAAUACGUUCCCGGGCCUUGUACACACCGCCCGUCAAGCCAUGGGAGUCUGGAGUACCUAAAGUCCGUAACCGCGAGGGUCGGCCUAGGGUAAUACAGGUGACUGGGGCUAAGUCGUAACAAGGUAGCCGUACCGGAAGGUGCGGCUGGAACACCUCCUUC